RNAcentral lists this ribosomal RNA (253 nucleotides) under uncultured bacterium. RNAcentral describes it as "partial 16S ribosomal RNA". It matches the Rfam family "Bacterial small subunit ribosomal RNA", at positions 524 to 776 of the family's 1533-position model. The record is from RNAcentral.
UACAGAGGGUGCGAGCGUUGUCCGGAAUCACUGGGCGUAAAGGGCUCGUAGGCGGCCAACUAAGUCGGACGUGAAAUCCCCAGGCUCAACCUGGGAACUGCGUCCGAUACUGGAUGGCUUGAAUCCGGGAGAGGGAUGCAGAAUUCCAGGUGUAGCGGUGAAAUGCGUAGAUAUCUGGAGGAACACCGGUGGCGAAGGCGGCAUCCUGGACCGGCAUUGACGCUGAGGAGCGAAAGCCAGGGGAGCAAACGGG